This 254-nucleotide ribosomal RNA is filed under the name uncultured bacterium. RNAcentral describes it as "partial 16S ribosomal RNA". It matches the Rfam family "Bacterial small subunit ribosomal RNA", at positions 524 to 776 of the family's 1533-position model. The record is from RNAcentral.
GACGAAGGGGGCUAGCGUUGUUCGGAAUUACUGGGCGUAAAGCGUGUGUAGGUGGUUGCCAUAGUCAGGUGUGAAAGCCUUGAGCUCAACUCAAGAAAUGCACUUGAUACUGGGCAGCUAGAGGACCGGAGAGGAUAGUGGAAUUCCCAGUGUAGUGGUGAAAUACGUAGAGAUUGGGAAGAACACCAGUGGCGAAGGCGGCUACCUGGCCUGUUUCUUGACGCUGAGGCGCGAAAGCUAGGGGAGCAAACGGG